CCAGAGGGUCGGGCAGCCGCGGCCCCGUUGCAAAACGGGGGCGAGGAAAGUCCGGGCUCCACGAAACAGGGAUGCCGGGUAACGCCCGGCGGGGGCGACCCCAGGGACAGUGCAACAGAAAGCAGGUUGCCUUGGGCUUCGGCCCGGUAACAGUGAAAGGGUGCGGUAAGAGCGCACCGCGCGACCGGCAACGGAUCGCGGCACGGUAAACCCCAUCCGGAGCAAGACCGAAUAGGGGCGGAUUUGGCGAUACGGUUUCUGCUUGCAGAGGCGCGUCCCAGGGGAGUUUCGGCCCCUUGCCGCCCGGGUUGGUUGCUUGAGCGGUGCAGCAAUGCCCUGCCUAGAGGAAUGGCUGCCCAUGACCGGCAACGGUCAGGACAGAACCCGGCUUACAGACCCUCUGGCGAU
This 408-nucleotide RNase P RNA is filed under the name Blastomonas sp. Its description in RNAcentral is "RNase P RNA component class A". It matches the Rfam family "Bacterial RNase P class A". Rfam says of the family: Ribonuclease P (RNase P) is a ubiquitous endoribonuclease, found in archaea, bacteria and eukarya as well as chloroplasts and mitochondria. Its best characterised activity is the generation of mature 5'-ends of tRNAs by cleaving the 5'-leader elements of precursor-tRNAs. Lineage: Bacteria; Pseudomonadati; Pseudomonadota; Alphaproteobacteria; Sphingomonadales; Blastomonadaceae. The record is from RNAcentral.